Molecule: ribosomal RNA, 159 nt
Filed under: uncultured eukaryote
Lineage: Eukaryota
Description: partial 18S ribosomal RNA
Rfam family: Eukaryotic small subunit ribosomal RNA
Source: RNAcentral
UGGUGGAUUGAUUUGUCUGGUUAAUUCCGAAAACGAACGAGACCUUAACCUAUUAAAUAGUUCGUUUAAUCAGAUUCGCAAGAGUUAGUUACAUUGAAGAAGUGAUACUUCUUAGAGGGACUCUUUACAUUUUAGUAAAGGGAAGUUUAAGGCAAAACA